RNAcentral lists this ribosomal RNA (426 nucleotides) under uncultured Chlamydiae bacterium. RNAcentral describes it as "bacterial SSU rRNA". It matches the Rfam family "Bacterial small subunit ribosomal RNA", at positions 958 to 1385 of the family's 1533-position model. The record is from RNAcentral. Lineage: Bacteria; Pseudomonadati; Chlamydiota; Chlamydiia.
AACGCGAAGAACCUUACCCAGGUUUGAAAUUCAGGAGACAAUACCAGAAAUGGUACUUCCCGCAAGGGCUGCUGAGUAGGUGCUGCAUGGCUGUCGUCAGCUCGUGCCGUGAGGUGUUGGGUUAAGUCCCGCAACGAGCGCAACCCUUAUCAUUAGUUGCCAACAUUUUAGGUGGGGACUCUAAUGAGACUGCCUGGGUUAACCAGGAGGAAGGUGAGGAUGACGUCAAGUCCGCAUGGCCUUUAUGUCUGGGGCUACACACGUGCUACAAUGGUCGGUACAGAAGGCAGCUAAGCCGCAAGGUAGAGCAAAUCCGUAAAGCCGAUCUCAGUUCAGAUUGUGGUCUGCAACUCGACCACAUGAAGUUGGAAUUGCUAGUAAUGACGGAUCAGCAACGCCGUCGUGAAUACGUUCCCGGGCCUUGUA